This 809-nucleotide ribosomal RNA is filed under the name Cryptosporidium parvum. RNAcentral's name for it is "SSU rRNA". It matches the Rfam family "Eukaryotic small subunit ribosomal RNA", at positions 189 to 1045 of the family's 1831-position model. Lineage: Eukaryota; Apicomplexa; Conoidasida; Eucoccidiorida; Cryptosporidiidae. The record is from RNAcentral.
AUUAUGGAAGGGUUGUAUUUAUUAGAUAAAGAACCAAUAUAAUUGGUGACUCAUAAUAACUUUACGGAUCACAUUAAAUGUGACAUAUCAUUCAAGUUUCUGACCUAUCAGCUUUAGACGGUAGGGUAUUGGCCUACCGUGGCGAUGACGGGUAACGGGGAAUUAGGGUUCGAUUCCGGAGAGGGAGCCUGAGAAACGGCUACCACAUCUAAGGAAGGCAGCAGGCGCGCAAAUUACCCAAUCCUAAUACAGGGAGGUAGUGACAAGAAAUAACAAUACAGGACUUUUUGGUUUUGUAAUUGGAAUGAGUUAAGUAUAAACCCCUUUACAAGUAUCAAUUGGAGGGCAAGUCUGGUGCCAGCAGCCGCGGUAAUUCCAGCUCCAAUAGCGUAUAUUAAAGUUGUUGCAGUUAAAAAGCUCGUAGUUGGAUUUCUGUUAAUAAUUUAUAUAAAAUAUUUUGAUGAAUAUUUAUAUAACAUUAACAUAAUUCAUAUUACUAUAUUUUUUAGUAUAUGAAAUUUUACUUUGAGAAAAUUAGAGUGCUUAAAGCAGGCAUAUGCCUUGAAUACUCCAGCAUGGAAUAAUAUUAAAGAUUUUUAUCUUUUUUAUUGGUUCUAAGAUAAGAAUAAUGAUUAAUAGGGACAGUUGGGGGCAUUUGUAUUUAACAGUCAGAGGUGAAAUUCUUAGAUUUGUUAAAGACAAACUAAUGCGAAAGCAUUUGCCAAGGAUGUUUUCAUUAAUCAAGAACGAAAGUUAGGGGAUCGAAGACGAUCAGAUACCGUCGUAGUCUUAACCAUAAACUAUGCCAA